Molecule: ribosomal RNA, 458 nt
Filed under: uncultured bacterium
Lineage: Bacteria
Description: partial 16S ribosomal RNA
Rfam family: Bacterial small subunit ribosomal RNA
Source: RNAcentral
CCUACGGGGGGCAGCAGUGAGGAAUAUUGGUCAAUGGGCGAGAGCCUGAACCAGCCAAGUCGCGUGAGGGAGUACUGCCCUAUGGGUUGUAAACCUCUUUUGUCGGGGAGCAAAAGCCGGACGUGUCCGGCUGUGAGAGUACCCGAAGAAAAAGCAUCGGCUAACUCCGUGCCAGCAGCCGCGGUAAUACGGAGGAUGCGAGCGUUAUCCGGAUUUAUUGGGUUUAAAGGGUGCGCAGGCGGAUUGUUAAGUCAGCGGUAAAAUCGUGGGGCUCAACCCCAUCCAGCCGUUGACACUGGGGAUCUAGAGUGUGCGAGAGGUAUGCGGAAUGCGUGGUGUAGCGGUGAAAUGCAUAGAUAUCACGCAGAACCCCGAUUGCGAAGGCAGCAUACCGGUGCACAACUGACGCUCAGGCACGAAAGCGUGGGUAUCGAACAGGAUUAGAUACCCGUGUAGUC